AAAGGUAGCAUAAUCACUUGUCUCCUAAAUAGGGACUAGUAUGAAUGGCCAAAUGAGGAUUUACCUGUCUCUUGUAGUUAAUCUAUGAAAUUAAUCUUUUAGUACAAAAGCUAAAAUAAUAUUAUAAGACGAAAAGACCCUGUGGAACUUUAGACAACAAACAAACUAUGUUUCCCUUGUCUUUAGUUGGGGCAACUUUGGAAAAAACUUCAACUUCCAAUAAUUCUUAAGGUGGACACACCAACAACAUUAAAUAUGACCCAGUAAUACUGAUUAAAGAAACAAGCUACCCCAGGGAUAACAG
RNAcentral lists this ribosomal RNA (304 nucleotides) under Bachia talpa. Its description in RNAcentral is "partial 12S ribosomal RNA". It matches the Rfam family "Bacterial large subunit ribosomal RNA", at positions 1952 to 2480 of the family's 2925-position model. The record is from RNAcentral. Lineage: Eukaryota; Metazoa; Chordata; Lepidosauria; Squamata; Gymnophthalmidae.